Molecule: long non-coding RNA, 2903 nt
Filed under: Heterocephalus glaber (naked mole-rat)
Lineage: Eukaryota; Metazoa; Chordata; Mammalia; Rodentia; Bathyergidae
Description: lncRNA (ENSHGLG00000043068.1)
Source: RNAcentral
AUAGGAGUCCUUUGGGGACAGAAACUGAAUUCCGCUUGUUAUUAACCUCUCCCCUUCCCUGGGCUGUGCCUUUCACCCGAACUCUGGUCCCGCCUUUCUCUGACACUCAGUUCAUUGGUUAUAUAUUUCCUAACGUUUGGCCUUUUAUCUCUCUCCUUCUCUGAGUGCCUUUUUCACAAGUGAAUUCUUUGGUUCAACAAGUCUCCAUGAAACACAUGCUUGGCAUAAUGCUGGGCCCCAGCAAACCUGAGGUUAUCCUUGUGUUAUCCUCACUCUAUCAAUGAAGGGACAGAAGAUCACCGACUCCUGAGAGCUCCCCGUUACCAAUACCGUCUGCACUGACUAGUGAAGAGAUUUUCAGCUUCAAGCAGCCACAAAGCCUCCCAAGCUGGAUUCAGGAAUUGAGAGAAUGAUUGGUUUGUACAAAUGAAAGAAGCAGGAUGAACCUCGGGUUUCACCCGAGUUGAGUCUGCUCUCAGAACAGGGAUGCCCACUGCCCUGUCCAGUACCAAAUGCUUCUGAGUGAAAGAAAGGAGCCUCUUCUCUGCCAGUGGAGGGAAGUUCUGGGCUGUCCCUCUGGCGCUGUGGCCUCUCGAUCCCCAGCCAGACACUGCUGCAGGAGAAUGAGCGGCCAGAAAGCAGCGUGUGAGCAGAAGACAGGACAGAGUGAGCCCGGGCCGAGGACAGAAGGGACAGAAGCACCGUGGAGCUCUGUGUUUGCUUUCGGCCCAGGGUCUGCAGAGGUCUGGCGAGGUGCGUCUGCGCGUGUGGCGGGAUAGGACCCUUAGACCUCCGACCUGAACACCACGCGCUCAGCCCAGGUUUUGGUGUGAGCUGUAUUUGGUCAACUGAGAAGUUAAAUUUUGCUGUGUGCCUGGAACCUGCAAUUCUGCAUCUGUUUGAAGGCUCAUUUUCCGUGUGAUCCACCAGCAUAAGAAGGUCAUCACAAAAUUUGCGAUGCAUCAUCAGUGGUUCCAGGGAGCCACUCCACCGUGCGGAGGGGCCAGGGUGGAGAUGUCAGGGGUUCCUCUUGCUGGACCAUGAGUGACGGAGAACAGCCCGUAUCGUUGCUCCUCAAGGGUGGGGAAGCAGUAAAACAUCAGGGAUAGGCCUGCAGGUGACAACAAAGGACAGGUCAGAGUUUACACGGUCGCUGACACAUGUAAGUAUGGGCGCUUCUUGGGUUACAGUGGAGCUACGUCCUGAUGAGUACCAAGAGCUGACAGUGUCACAGUUGCCAUGCACUGGACUCGUCUGUCUGCCAAACACCACAGCCCGUCCUGAGCUUCUCAGGUCUGCUCUGGGCACUCACCUUCGCUUGCCUUUGGGUAAAACCAUCUAACACAGGGCCUAUCUUACAAUAAAGCGUGGAUUGACCAUGAAAUUUACCCACUGCUGUUCUGAAAGUAAAAGGCAGAAUGGUGUGUGGAUGUGCUGUGGUACUAUUCUAAAGCCAAAAACUCAAAAACCAACUACUAUAAGUUGAAAACUUUCAGCACUGGCUCUCAGCAGCCUCGGACAUUACGAUAAUGUGAACGUGAUGCUCAUAGAAGUUCAUCCCGCUUAUUUUGCCUGAUUCACAGCUUCUCAUUGCACCUUGACUUAAAAAAAUCUGAUCUUUCCUUUAACACCAGUCAAAUAGAGUGAUGGAUCUUCAAGGGCACUGACUGUCCUGCACCAGACUUGUGAGCAGCUCCCCUCAGCCUGUCCCACUGAAAUUGAGGGCUGUGGGGUUGGAACAUGUGUGGUGCCCGUCAUUUCAUUGUUCAAACCUUGAGAAGUGGAAAUUUCUUUGCAGGUGUUCCAAUAAUUACUUCCAUAUGUCACAUUCACUGCUUCCAAAAGCAGGCCAGGCCUUCUCUAACCACGUAAGCAGCUCUCUGGGGAGACCAGCACUCGGUCCCCAACUUGACAUUUGCCACUGAGAGCGGCAAAUCAUGUGAUAGACUGUCCACCGCGAGACAGGAUGUGAGGCCCCCGGAAAUGCAGCUUCUUGCUGAACACUGUCCUGCAUGAUCGGAACCCCAUGCACUUCCUCGCUCCACUCGAAAGCCAUGACACUGUCGAUCACAAUGGCAGAAGUAAUUGGCAUCGAUUCAGAUGCAGACCUGGCCACAGAUGUGCAACCCACUGCACGUUUGAUUGUUUUUUUCUCUUUGCCAGUAUAAGUGAACUCUGUAAAGAUGUGAUUAAUGCCCUGUAUGUUGUUAAAUCCUCUGCAUAAAAACAGCUUGUAGCACAAAACAAAUGUUCAGUAAAUGAUAAAUACUCAAUGAAUAAAUGAAUGGACGUCAUCUGACUUCCCAUAGUACACAUGAGGGGCUUCCAGGUGGACGCGCCUCGAGGGGUGGAAACCUCCGGUCUGGGGAAGUGGUUUCCGCCCAGUUCUGCUCACUGGCCAGGCAUGGUCCCCACCUGCUCACCAGUCUCCUUGUUACCCGAUAUUCCUUAGCAUUGGGCUCUUCAGGAGGAGAUGUGAGCAGAAAGGUCAGAACAAAUGCGCAGUGAAUAAAAAUGGAGGGGAGAAUAUUAUAGGACUAAAUCCUCAAAAAGUGGUAGGUAUCAGCUGUUUGAGAGGGGGAAAGAAAUCUUAACUUCAAGUUUGGAUAUAACCAGGAACAAAAGGCGGUAGGUACUACGUGGGAUUUCCUUCACUGCUUCCGAGACCCUUCCCUAUCUUUUGUCUUAUUUGCAUGAAGACAGAAAUAAUCCACCUGUAAAAUAGAGAAGGGGUUGUUUUACAGGAAACAGGAAGAAGAAAGGCAACUCAGCUGAAGAAAAGAAACAAGGAAGAGGCACAGGAGCUGGGAGAGGGUCCUGGUCCCGGGGAACUUUCGUGGGCUUCAUAAGCCUCGGUUUCUUCAUCUGCGACUACAAGGCAACAUUCUCUUGCAAAUCUUCAC